CUUGCGCAUUACUUCCACGAAAAUUGUCAGCCCUAUAUAUUUUAGUAAAAUAAUUAUACUUGUACUAUUAUUAUUGUACAAUUAUUAUUAUAUAUAAAUUAUACAAUUGUUAUUGUUAAAAAUGUUGAUGUUACUUCAGUUGCUCUUUAGCUAUUACAGUUAGACUCACUAGAUAAGACUUGCACUCUAGCUAAAAAAAUUAAAUACCUCAAUACGUUGUGUGAAGCAUUGUUUAUAUAUUAAGUGUUAUACUUUGCAAAUUUUUUUUUUUUAUUAAUUCAAUAUUAUACAGCUCACUUAAUAGUUAAUGCUCAAUUUUAUUAUUACUAAUUUCAGUGUUAAUUAAAAAUCUAAAUUGGUCAGUUAAAAUCAUGAAAUUGUGUUUGUUAUUAGUCGUAGCAGUUCUUAUGGGAUUAGCAUUAUCGAUAAAACUGAGAGUAUGUGAAAGAGAUGAAUACGACUCAAAGGAAAAAUGUGAUGAAAACUGCGUUCCAUUUCCGGAGGGCAAUCAAAAAUUUCCAGUUACAUGUCAAUUGUAGCAGUUCUUGUGGGAUUAGCAUCGUCGCAAUCAAAAAUAUGUAAAAAAGAUGAGUACGAAUUAAGCGAUACGUGUGAGGAUCACUGCAAAUUUAAGAAAGACAAUGUCGAAUCCGCUCAAGGUAUAUGUAGAGUAUCGACUAUACAUAAGUUUGAUUUUGGUGAAACGGCUACACAAUAUUUCCAAUGUUGGAAAUGUUUUUAUGACCUGAGGAACAUACCAUCUAUAGAGAUGGUCUCUUAUUAAUCCAUAAUAUUUGUGUUAU
This is a long non-coding RNA of Aphis gossypii (cotton aphid), 803 nucleotides long. RefSeq lists it as uncharacterized. The record is from RefSeq and is a predicted model, not a curated record. Lineage: Eukaryota; Metazoa; Arthropoda; Insecta; Hemiptera; Aphididae. The transcript has 2 exons.